GUAAACGUCCUGAAGAGGAAAGUAAUCAUCGCUACCCGUGCAGUGAGUUUGGAAUAGUGCAAACCAAACCGGAAGACGAUUGAUGAAAAAUGGCCUCCAAACGGCACCACUGAGCUUUUGCCAGGUGAUGACAGUUAGCUACUGUUAAUAAGCUUCCGUAUGAAACGUACGGAUUGAGGUCAAUAUCGUGAGGUGUUGACAAAUUAAGGUGGUACCGCGAACGGCAACUUCGUCCUUUAA
The sequence is a regulatory RNA element, 240 nucleotides long. It matches the Rfam family "T-box leader". From Rfam's summary of the family: Uncharged tRNA acts as the effector for transcription antitermination of genes in the T-box leader family. The record is from Rfam.